RNAcentral lists this ribosomal RNA (245 nucleotides) under uncultured Eubacteriales bacterium. Its description in RNAcentral is "uncultured Clostridiales bacterium partial 16S ribosomal RNA". It matches the Rfam family "Bacterial small subunit ribosomal RNA", at positions 524 to 768 of the family's 1533-position model. The record is from RNAcentral. Lineage: Bacteria; Bacillati; Bacillota; Clostridia; Eubacteriales.
UACGUAGGGGGCAAGCGUUAUCCGGAAUUACUGGGUGUAAAGGGUGCGCAGGCGGCUUAGCAAGUUUGAUGUGAAACCCAUGGGCUUAACCCGUGGCAUGCAUCGAAAACUACAAAGCUAGAGUGCAGGAGAGGAAAGCGGAAUUCCUAGUGUAGCGGUGAAAUGCGUAGAUAUUAGGAGGAACACCAGUGGCGAAGGCGGCUUUCUGGACUGCAACUGACGCUCAGGCACGAAAGCGUGGGGAG